This 253-nucleotide ribosomal RNA is filed under the name uncultured bacterium. RNAcentral's name for it is "partial 16S ribosomal RNA". It matches the Rfam family "Bacterial small subunit ribosomal RNA", at positions 524 to 776 of the family's 1533-position model. The record is from RNAcentral.
UACGAAGGGGGCUAGCGUUGCUCGGAAUCACUGGGCGUAAAGCGCACGUAGGCGGAUUGCUAAGUCAGGGGUGAAAUCCUGGAGCUCAACUCCAGAACUGCCUUUGAUACUGGUAGUCUCGAGUCCGGAAGAGGUGAGUGGAAUUCCGAGUGUAGAGGUGAAAUUCGUAGAUAUUCGGAGGAACACCAGUGGCGAAGGCGGCUCACUGGUCCGGUACUGACGCUGAGGAGCGAAAGCGUGGGUAGCAAACAGG